RNAcentral lists this ribosomal RNA (492 nucleotides) under uncultured bacterium. Its description in RNAcentral is "partial 16S ribosomal RNA". It matches the Rfam family "Bacterial small subunit ribosomal RNA", at positions 29 to 507 of the family's 1533-position model. The record is from RNAcentral.
AGUGAACGCUGGCGGUAGGCCUAACACAUGCAAGUCGAACGGCAGCACAGUAAGAUCUUGCUCUUACGGGUGGCGAGUGGCGGACGGGUGAGGAAUACAUCGGAAUCUACUUUUUCGUGGGGGAUAACGUAGGGAAACUUACGCUAAUACCGCAUACGACCUACGGGUGAAAGCAGGGGAUCUUCGGACCUUGCGCGAUUGAAUGAGCCGAUGUCGGAUUAGCUAGUUGGCGGGGUAAAGGCCCACCAAGGCGACGAUCCGUAGCUGGUCUGAGAGGAUGAUCAGCCACACUGGAACUGAGACACGGUCCAGACUCCUACGGGAGGCAGCAGUUGGGAAUAUUGGACAAUGGGCGCAAGCCUGAUCCAGCCAUACCGCGUGGGUGAAGAAGGCCUUCGGGUUGUAAAGCCCUUUUGUUGGGAAAGAAAAGCAGCAGGUUAAUACCCCGCUGUUCUGACGGUACCCAAAGAAUAAGCACCGGCUAACUUCGUG